UGAUGAAUUCUUCUCAUCCUUCAAGAUUCAACUCCAAGGCCAUUUCCUCCUUGAGACCUCUUGUGAUUGCCCUGUCUAAAAGGAUUUUAUUCCUCUUCAAAUUUUCUGAGAGCUCUUUGGAUUUCUCCCUUGUCAUCAUCAACCAAACUUGUGUUCCAAAUGUGGAAUAUGAACUUAAAUAG
RNAcentral lists this long non-coding RNA (182 nucleotides) under Monodelphis domestica (gray short-tailed opossum). RNAcentral's name for it is "lncRNA (ENSMODG00000030464.2)". Lineage: Eukaryota; Metazoa; Chordata; Mammalia; Didelphimorphia; Didelphidae. The record is from RNAcentral.